Microcebus murinus (gray mouse lemur) is the source of this 599-nucleotide non-coding RNA. The record is from RefSeq and is a predicted model, not a curated record. Lineage: Eukaryota; Metazoa; Chordata; Mammalia; Primates; Cheirogaleidae.
UUUUCUGGGUAAUAUGUCUUUAUAUAACCAGAUUACAAAAACAGAAGGAAGUUUAUUAGUUUCUUCCAGCUGAAAAAUUUGAAAAUCUAUGGUUAAAUUCAUCCCAUUAGGAGUUAACUUUCUUUUUGGAAAAUGUUUUUUAGGAAUAUUUCCUUGAGAGAUCAAGCCGUGAAUGAGAGGUUCUUUGACCUCACAGCAAGAAAAUAUACUUUUUGAAAUUUCCGUUAAGAGCAAUCUGAAAGUGUGCCCCAUGCCAACUCUUCAGUCUCAUCUGCACAUUUCUUCUGAGAAAUUCACUUGCUACAGAUCAAAAAGUGUGAACUCGUGGUUUCACAUCCCUGCUAUUGAAAAUCUACAUACAAUCCACUUCUGUGUUUCAUCACCUAGAACUUGUCCUGCCAAAUAGCAGGUGUUCAAAAGUGCGUGCAUGAAUGGAAUUCUGAAAGCUUUGGAUAAGAUGUACUCCCUCCACUGCUCAUGGGCCUUUGAGACCCAAACAACAUGAACUAGUAGUCGUAGCUUCCCCACCAGGAGAUGAGGAUUAACAAAGCUUUGCUUUGGUGAAAGAGUAUUCAACAUUUGGUUAAUUCUCUUGCAUU